This 431-nucleotide ribosomal RNA is filed under the name Heteroonops sp. 7 GJB-2020. Its description in RNAcentral is "partial large subunit ribosomal RNA". It matches the Rfam family "Archaeal large subunit ribosomal RNA", at positions 1921 to 2671 of the family's 2987-position model. Lineage: Eukaryota; Metazoa; Arthropoda; Arachnida; Araneae; Oonopidae. The record is from RNAcentral.
CACUCUAAGAUAUUGCUUAAAGCUUUUCCUGCUCCAUGAUUUUUAAAUAGCCGCAGUUUACUGUGCUAAGGUAGCGUAAUAAACAGCCUACUAAUUGUAGGAUAGAAUGAAAGGACAAACAGUUUUUAUCUAUAUUAUACCUACUAAAUAACCUAAAAUAAAAGUAAAAAUUCUUUUAAACCAAGAAAGACGAUAAGACCCUAUAGAACUUAACUAAAGUUAAACUGGGGUGGUUCAAUAACUAAAUCUUAUUAAAAAUUUAAACAAUUACCUUGACAAUAUAAGUACCAAGUUACCUUAGGGAUAACAGCAUAAUUUUUAUCUAAAGAUCUCAUUUACAUAAAAGAUUAUGACCUCGAUGUUGAAUUAAAAUUACUAAGAAAAGCAAAAGUUUAUGUAGUAAGUCUGUUCGACUUUUAAAAUUUUACAUG